CCUGGUGGUAAUGGCAGGGGGUCCCCACCGGAUCCCAUCCCGAACUCCGUCGUUAAGCCCCCUUGCGCCGAUGGUACUACGUCUUAAGGCGUGGGAGAGUAGGUCGCUGCCGGGU
This 115-nucleotide ribosomal RNA is filed under the name Hyphomonas sp. The record is from RNAcentral. Lineage: Bacteria; Pseudomonadati; Pseudomonadota; Alphaproteobacteria; Hyphomonadales; Hyphomonadaceae. RNAcentral also lists the same sequence under 5 other names.